Molecule: ribosomal RNA, 274 nt
Filed under: uncultured bacterium
Lineage: Bacteria
Description: partial 16S ribosomal RNA
Rfam family: Bacterial small subunit ribosomal RNA
Source: RNAcentral
CCCGCCGGCGACCGGCGCACGGGUGAGUAACACGUAUGAAACCUGCCCGCAGCAGGGGGAUAAGCGGAAGAAAUUCCGUCUAAUACCGCGUAACAACCCGAGGAGGCAUCUCCUCGGGUUUAAAGGAAGCGAUUCCGGCUACGGAUGGUCAUGCGUCGCAUUAGCUAGUUGGCGGGGUAACGGCCCACCAAGGCGACGAUGCGUAGGGGUUCUGAGAGGAAGGUCCCCCACACUGGUACUGAGACACGGACCAGACUCCUACGGGAGGCAGCAG